AGCCAUGCAUGUUUCCGCAAUCAGGGACGAAUAGCUCAGUAAAACUGCGAUGAUUUAGUCUGGCUGUGUAGAUAACUACGUGAAAAUGUAGCUAAGGGAAGGCAGAAUAAGACGCAGGACUAUCAGUUAGUUGGUAGUGUAAUGGACUACCAAGACAGUGACGGUUGACGGGAAAUUAGGGUUUUGUACCGGAGAGGGAGCCUGAGAGAUUGCUCCCACGUCCAAGGACGGCAGCAGGCGCGAAAAUUGCCCACUCUUUGCAGGAGGCAGUUAUGAGACGUGAAGAUGAGUAUCUUGUAAAGAGGGAUAGGAGAAUUGGAGGGCAAGUUUGGUGCCAGCAGCCGCGGUAAUACCGACUCCAAGAGUGUGUAUGAGAGAUGCUGCAGUUAAAAAGUCCGUAGUCAUAGAAGGGCAAAGAGAGAUGCGAGGUCUCACAGUGCGAUGAUGGAGGAGCCGAUGGGGAACAUAGUAUACCAGGGCGAGAGAUGAAAUGCCAAGACCCCUGGUGGACUGGAGCGAGGCGAAGGCGAU
This 531-nucleotide ribosomal RNA is filed under the name Vittaforma corneae. RNAcentral's name for it is "SSU rRNA". It matches the Rfam family "Microsporidia small subunit ribosomal RNA", at positions 46 to 608 of the family's 1311-position model. The record is from RNAcentral. Lineage: Eukaryota; Fungi; Microsporidia; Nosematidae.